UGUAAGAUCUAUAAAGAGAGAGGGAGUGGGAGAGAGAACAGGCAGAACCUGAUAUGUAAAUGAGCAGAGCAAACAAAAGCAACUUUCGACGACCGAAUGAUCAUUCCAGACUGUUUCUAUUGAGAGAGAGAUAAAAGGCUGGUUGAAUGAGUUGCCUGUGCAAGUUACUUCAUCUGCAAGAAAACAGGCGGCUGCACCAGUGACUGUGUCAGUAAUCUAAAAUGAGUCUCUCUGGGGAGAGAGAGGAGGGAGGCCCUGUCUCUAAAAUGAGUCUCUCUGGGGAACAUGACACCAAAGCUAAGAGCCCAAUCAAGCAGGAGAGACCAGCCUCCCCUGUACCCAGCUGUGUGUCCAUGAAGAGUGACACGUCUAUGGAACCUCCUUUACUGUUUAAAGAGGGAGACGUUUC
Molecule: non-coding RNA, 409 nt
Organism: Salvelinus sp. IW2-2015
Lineage: Eukaryota; Metazoa; Chordata; Actinopteri; Salmoniformes; Salmonidae
Source: RefSeq, a predicted model, not a curated record